RNAcentral lists this long non-coding RNA (324 nucleotides) under Vitis vinifera (wine grape). RNAcentral describes it as "long non-coding RNA (VVIN_LNC001574)". Lineage: Eukaryota; Viridiplantae; Streptophyta; Magnoliopsida; Vitales; Vitaceae. The record is from RNAcentral.
AGGGGAGCAGAAAAACAGCAGGAGAAUGGGGAGCGGGAAAGUGGGGGAGCCCUUAAACCCUAAGGAGAUGAUGAAGAUGAAGAAGCCCUCACGACUGGGCCCUAAGGCACCUAAUCCAAAAUCUAAAUUCAACAACAACAAGAAGAAGCUUAAUAACAUUGACAAGAAGAAGAACAAAAACGACAGCAGCGACAAGGUGGGAGCCAAGAAACCCAAGCCUCAAGCAGAGCCCAUUUCACCCUCACAGCAGCUGAAUUUCUUUCUGGACCAAUUUCAAUCCGCCAAUAAUCUUCAGCUUUCUUCCCUCGAAUCCGACUCUCUCAC